GAGCCUCUUACACAACUUUCAGGGGUUCAGGCACCCCAACUUAGCAGAAUACGUAACCCAGAUUUCUCAAUUCAAGGUAUAGAGCCUUUUAAUGGCUCCAGUCAACCAAUGAAGACGCCAACUAAUGAUGAGAGACGCCCUGCAGAACCGUCUCCAGAUGAUACUCAAAGCACUCAAGAUCUACAAAUGGGCAACGACCAGAUAGAAGAUCCAUAUGGAAUAUUUGAGCCCGUUGU
Non-coding RNA from Triticum urartu, 236 nucleotides. Lineage: Eukaryota; Viridiplantae; Streptophyta; Magnoliopsida; Poales; Poaceae. The record is from RefSeq and is a predicted model, not a curated record.